This 351-nucleotide long non-coding RNA is filed under the name Mus pahari (shrew mouse). RNAcentral describes it as "predicted gene 29107 (MGP_PahariEiJ_G0005883.1)". Lineage: Eukaryota; Metazoa; Chordata; Mammalia; Rodentia; Muridae. The record is from RNAcentral.
GGGGGGGGGGGGGGAGGUAGGGGAUAAGGGAUUUUCGGAGAGGAAACUUGGAAAGUUUGAAAUGUAAAUGAAGAAAACAUCUAAAAAUAUUGUUAACAAGUUAUAAAAAAGUUGUAUGUUUAUUUACUGUCUGUUAUAUAAAUGCAAAAAUCAUAAUUAUACAAGUAAACUUAAUUACUCUGAUACCUUUGUUCAAAUUUAUAGCUUUAUCCUCACAUAUUUGUAUAAUUACCAAUGCUGUAAACACUUUAAAAGAAUGAGUAAAGAUCAGUGUUCUGCUGAAAAAAUAAAAAAGCUUUGAUCAACUUAUUGUGUUUUAAACUUAAUAAAAAUAAAAGUUUUCCUAUUUUA